UAGGCGUAAAUGAUGCGAGUUAAGUGUGGGGGCAUCUACGAGAUGGCCCUGUGCUGUAGGGUAGCCGUUAAACUCGCUGCCUGGGGAGUACGGUCGCAAGGCUGAAACUUAAAGGGAUUGGCGGGGGAGCACCACAACGCGUGGAGCCUGCGGUUUAAUUGGAUUCAACGCCGGAAAUCUUACCGGGACCGACAGCAACAUGAAGGCCAAGCUGAAGACUUUGCCGGAUUAGCUGAGAGGAGGUGCAUGGCGUAGUCGUGU
This 261-nucleotide ribosomal RNA is filed under the name uncultured archaeon. RNAcentral describes it as "partial 16S ribosomal RNA". It matches the Rfam family "Archaeal small subunit ribosomal RNA", at positions 748 to 1009 of the family's 1478-position model. The record is from RNAcentral.